CACGGUGGCCUCGGGCAGCUCGUCGUCCUCCGUCCACUCGUUGAGCUCCGGGCUGAAGCACUGGAUGCACUUCUUGUACUUCUUCUCGCCCUCGUUCCAGCCCCCCAGCAGGGUCUCUGUACAGGAUGUCUCUACUAAGGGACUUCUCCGUAAGGCCUGGACGUCCCCCAACAGUGACGAGGACUCGACAGCCCCCGCGGAUUCUUGUGCGCCUAGACUGCAAUGUGUUUUGACGAUAUGGAAGCAUUUUAUCAUCUCCCAUCCCCGCAAGAAGAAGUUCUGUUCUGAGCACGGAACAAUAGGAUAUUUUGAGAGAGAGAGAGAGACCACGUUCACAUAACUUUGAUAUAGCCACAGGUCUGGAGCGGGGUUCCAGAGGCUUCCCUGAAGGACUCUGUGGACAGGGUGUAAUUCUGAGGUGUCUGGAGAAAAGAGAGAAUCUGGCCUUGACAACAUAGCGAUAUGAUGAGGCCAAGGAGGCAAAGGGUCAGCAGGGAAUUCCAAAGGAAUCCAAAGGGCAGCAACAACUCCAACAGAAAGUAUCGCUGCAUUGAAGAAGCAGAGGGUUUGUGGCAACCACAUCCCCUGGAAAGUGAGCUGGGAAUUCUGGGCAAGAGAGAUCCCAAAGGGGAAUGAAGGAAUGAAGAACAUGAGAAAUAAUAAAUAUCUGGAUGCAUAUAAAAGACUCUGAACUUCUUUAAAAUUCAUAUAACUCUUCAAAGCAAAACUGGUAACAUCUUCUCAUGGAGAUUCUAACAUUUCUGGAUGUAGCACAUAUGAUUAUUACAGCAUAAAGGACGGAGUGAUGGGGGAGUUUCUAUGUUGCCAAUAUGGAUAUUUCUGGGACUUCAAGGAGUUCUCUGACUUUUGUGUUACCGAUUGAAUUAAACUGAUUGUAUUUCAUCUAAACCUAUCAGGCAUUGCUUUGCGUGUUGGCACACUAGGAAAUUAUUCUGCGCCCUGAAGGAGUGGCGGGAACGAAGAGAACUUCGGAAGCUGUGACUGUUGGGACAAUCUGAAGAAAAUACCGAGAGAGGACUUACGAUGGAUGAAACACCUGUGCAAGUGUAUUGGGGGUUGUUGGGCAACAAGUGGAUUUAGCGAACAUUCUUAUACCCUAUUGUGGCCAAAAUUGGGCCCGAUGGGCAGAUAUUCCUGGGAAAUAUUAAAAGUAAGGAAAGAAAACUCUGAUAGCAACUGGCUCUUAAUGAUUAAAAUGGGUCCUAAUGAUGAAAAGGAGCCAGUUCCUUAUGAGUGGAAGUGGGGAGGUAAAAGGUGAUGUAGGGACUCUCACUCCAGCUGGGCACUGGGCUUAGCUCAUCCUUGAUAUAAUUCCAACUCUAAGACUCUGUGAUGCCAUAUGUAUUGGCUUCCAGACUUCCCAAACCUCUCAGCUCACUAGUUGGCAUCUUAGUUACCACUUAGUCUUAAAUUCCAUUCAGCUUUUUAGCAGGGAAAACUCUUUUGAUUUUUUUUAAAAAAAUUCUUUGUUUUCACACAUAGCCAUCCAGCUUCAAAUGUGUCAGAAGUAUAUCAAAGAACUUUAUUGUACGGUUUACAAAGCUAACAGAGGAUCAUUCCCAGGUGAUCCUUCAUGUUUCCCCCUCCUUGAUUCCAGUUAAGGGCCAAGGCAUUCAACUCUCUUCUUAGUAAUAUGAUAAAAAUCAGCUUUAGAUAAGUAUUUAUGAUAAUGAUUAGAUGAUUAUGGAAAGGUCCUUUAAGAAGUAAGCAGAAAAUUACUUGGGAACUUUAUUAAA
Molecule: long non-coding RNA, 1757 nt
Organism: Mustela erminea (ermine)
Lineage: Eukaryota; Metazoa; Chordata; Mammalia; Carnivora; Mustelidae
Exons: 8
Source: RefSeq, a predicted model, not a curated record